CCAAAAAUCAAAACUUCAUGGUCCGUAGAGUUUUGGACGCUGAGUCGAAUGGUGAAGGUCCCACUUCGAUCCGACCAAGCGUUCUUGAGAUAUAUCAGUUUGCAAUUGUCCUUUUCGGGUCCGUGCCGUGACGUCACAAACCCGUGACGUCAUUGAGACUUGGUGAUCCUUUGGCCAGAUCCAGAAACACUGGGAUUUCGCAUCUUCUUUCUGUUUGUCCAUGGAAGAAGAGGGUAUUUGUGUCAUCAUGGCGUCUGGCUGUGUUGUUGGCUACUAUAAUCUUACUGGCAACCCCCCUGGGAUGAACCUGCACCAAUUUCUGAAGGAUUGUGCUUGGCACAGGCCGAGCAGUGCACCAUAGCAGCUAUCAAGCGACAUAAUUAUUUGCUUGACAAUUUAGGGACUACAAUGUAAAUCCUUCGCGUGUGUUCCAGCCAUUUGGCAGAGGAGGAUUUUCAGGAGGAAUAUUAUGCACUCAUCCGAUGCGGACGCUGGUGGAUGAAACUGUGGUGCGUCCUUUUUCGCACGCCACACUGUAAAGUGUCAGUCGAAAAGCGGAGGAAGAAGAUCAAGAGCGGCUGUACCAUCGGUCGCAGUGACUCACUGUUGAGCUACGACCACUGCCACCGCCCCAAGGUUAUAGGAAGGACUGUUUGCAGCGCCAGCGCCUCUAGCUGGCAUGUUUUUUUCCUGUAUGAACACGCAGUAUGUACUGCUGAUAAGCUACAUCACGCAAUGACCCGCAGUUCAAGGAGAGAAGAUAGUCCACAUACCAGCAACGGUGUACACCUAUUCGGGAACUCGUUGGGUUUUCUCAGUAUGGAUGCAGAUGAGAGCCAGACAUUAUUAUUGUGUGUAUGCGUGCAAGCGCGUGAGUGUGUGUGUGCGCGCGCGCACGCGCGUGAGUGUGCGCGCACGAGCGUGAGUGUGUGCGUGCGCGCGCCCGUGAGUGUGUGUGCGCGCACGUGAGUGUGUUUGCGCGCACGCGCGUGAGAGACAGACAUUAUUAUUAUUGUGUGUGUGGGUGCACGCGCGUGAGUGUGUGGGUGCGCGCGCACGCGCGUAACACUGAGUGUGUGUGCGCGCGCAUGCGCGUGAGUGUGUGUGCACGCACUUGCGUGAGUGUGUGUGUGUGCGUGCACAUGCGUGUGCUUUUGUUUAAUGUAAUAUAACAUUCCAAAGAUAUUCACGUCAUCUAUUCUGUGUUCUCCUUUAUGUCAUUCUCUCCCCAUUUGCGGGAGGGACAUGGAAUGACAAGUAGUAGAUGCAUUGCCGUUAG
Long non-coding RNA from Sycon ciliatum, 1279 nucleotides. RefSeq lists it as uncharacterized. The record is from RefSeq and is a predicted model, not a curated record. Lineage: Eukaryota; Metazoa; Porifera; Calcarea; Leucosolenida; Sycettidae. The transcript is spliced from 2 exons.